RNAcentral lists this ribosomal RNA (254 nucleotides) under uncultured prokaryote. Its description in RNAcentral is "partial 16S ribosomal RNA". It matches the Rfam family "Bacterial small subunit ribosomal RNA", at positions 525 to 777 of the family's 1533-position model. The record is from RNAcentral.
ACGGAAGAUCCGAGCGUUAUCCGGAAUUACUGGGCGUAAAGAGUUGCGUAGGUGGUGGUUUAAGUCUGCUGUGAAAGCCCUGGGCUCAACCUGGGAAUUGCAGUGGAUACUGGGUCACUAGAGUGUGGUAGAGGGAUGCGGAAUUUCUGGUGUAGCAGUGAAAUGCGUAGAGAUCAGAAGGAACAUCCGUGGCGAAGGCGGCAUCCUGGGCCAACACUGACACUGAGGCACGAAAGCGUGGGGAGCAAACAGGA